GCAGGCUGCAACUCGCCUGCAUGAAGUCGGAAUUGCUAGUAAUCGCGGAUCAGCAUGCCGCGGUGAAUACGUUCCCGGGCCUUGUACACACCGCCCGUCACACCAUGGGAGUCGGUAACACCCGAAGCCGAUAGUCUAACGAAAGAGGACGUCGUCGAAGGUGGGAUUGAUGACUGGGGUGAAGUCGUAACAAGGUAAC
This 199-nucleotide ribosomal RNA is filed under the name uncultured bacterium. RNAcentral describes it as "partial 16S ribosomal RNA". It matches the Rfam family "Bacterial small subunit ribosomal RNA", at positions 1300 to 1500 of the family's 1533-position model. The record is from RNAcentral.